GGGACGAGCAUAGUGUCAAACUCAUGGACAGAGCUCAUUGUCAAACAAGCAAACUCAUCAAAAGCAACGCGCCACCGGUUCUGCUUGUGUUUGGGGACACGCCGACAUCUGCUGAAUCCUCGAGCGCUAAUGCGGACGAGUUCUGGCUAUGAGGCUGAUGUUCAGUGCUAACAAUCAUGGAAUCUACUGCUGAAGCUAUAAUGGAGCGAUGGACUCUGGAGGAGAAUGAGGAAAUGAGCCCUCAACACUCCAUUUAACCACCAACUGUGAAUAUCACAGCGGAUCAUUU
This is a long non-coding RNA of Syngnathus typhle (broad-nosed pipefish), 289 nucleotides long. RefSeq lists it as uncharacterized. The record is from RefSeq and is a predicted model, not a curated record. NCBI's taxonomy places the organism in Eukaryota, Metazoa, Chordata, Actinopteri, Syngnathiformes, Syngnathidae. The transcript has 3 exons.